AUUGAACGCUGGCGGCAGGCUUAACACAUGCAAGUCGAGCGGGGUGAUGGUGCUUGCACUAUCACUUAGCGGCGGACGGGUGAGUAAUGCUUAGGAAUCUGCCUAUUAGUGGGGGACAACAUCGCGAAAGGGAUGCUAAUACCGCAUACGUCCUACGAGAGAAAGCAGGGGAUCACUUGUGACCUUGCGCUAAUAGAUGAGCCCAAGUCGGAUUAGCUAGUUGGUGGGGUAAAGGCCUACCAAGGCGACGAUCUGUAGCGGGUCUGAGAGGAUGAUCCGCCACACUGGGACUGAGACACGGCCCAGACUCCUACGGGAGGCAGCAGUGGGGAAUAUUGGACAAUGGGGGGAACCCUGAUCCAGCCAUGCCGCGUGUGUGAAGAAGGCCUUAUGGUUGUAAAGCACUUUAAGCGAGGAGGAGGCUAUUUUGGUUAAUACCCAAGAUGAGUGGACGUUACUCGCAGAAUAAGCACCGGCUAACUCUGUGCCAGCAGCCGCCGUAA
This 503-nucleotide ribosomal RNA is filed under the name uncultured bacterium. RNAcentral describes it as "partial 16S ribosomal RNA". It matches the Rfam family "Bacterial small subunit ribosomal RNA", at positions 30 to 523 of the family's 1533-position model. The record is from RNAcentral.